UUUUUUUUUUUUUUUUUUUUGAGACAGGGUCUUGCUCUGUCACCCAGGCUGGAGUGCAGUGGUGCCAUCUAGGCUCACUGCAGCCUCUGCCUCCUGGCUGAAGUGAUCCUCCCACCUCAGCCUCCCUAGUAGCUGAGACUACAGGUGUGGACUACAAUGCCUGGCCAAUUUUUUGUAUUUUUUUUAAUAGAGACCAGGUUUUGCCAUGUUGCCCAGGCUGGUCUCAAACUCCUUAGCUCAAGCGAAUCCACUCACCUCAGCCUCCCAAAGUGUUAGGAUUAUAGCCAUGAGCCACUGUGCCUGGCCUACCUUCACUUUUUCCAAGUUGUCUCUUCUGCUGCUAUACCUGUGGAACACACAGACCCUUCAUUGGGGAGGGUAAUUAUUUUUAGUUGCAGAGGAAGCCAGAAACCUUUGAUGGCUCAAAGAAGUGUCUCAUCAUCAUAACACAUAGUAAGCCUCAGUAAAUACUUGAUGAAUACUUGAGCAACCUGGCUUCAUUUUUAAAUUAUU
This 513-nucleotide long non-coding RNA is filed under the name Homo sapiens (human). RNAcentral describes it as "non-protein coding lnc-DUSP11-1:1". The record is from RNAcentral. Lineage: Eukaryota; Metazoa; Chordata; Mammalia; Primates; Hominidae.